This 462-nucleotide ribosomal RNA is filed under the name uncultured bacterium. RNAcentral describes it as "partial 16S ribosomal RNA". It matches the Rfam family "Bacterial small subunit ribosomal RNA", at positions 28 to 506 of the family's 1533-position model. The record is from RNAcentral.
GAUGAACGCUGACAGAAUGCUUAACACAUGCAAGUCGAUGGGGAAGUGGUGCUUGCACCAUGGCAACCAUGGCGGACGGGUGAGUAACGCGUAAGGGACUUACCUGCAGGACUGGGAUAACAGGGGGAAACUCCUGACAAGACCGGAUAAUGUCAUGGAGCUGCAUGGCUUUAGGAUGAAAGGAGACGCCUGCGGAGAGCCUUGCGUCCUAUUAGCUAGUUGGUGAGGUAAUGGCUCACCAAGGCGAAGAUAGGGAGCCGGCCUGAGAGGGUGGACGGCCACAAGGGGACUGAGAUACGGCCCUUACUCCUGCGGGAGGCAGCAGUGGGGAAUAUUGGACAAUGGGGGCAACCCUGAUCCAGCAAUUCUGUGUGCACGAAGAAGGUUUUCGGAUUGUAAAGUGCUUUCAGCAGGGAAGAAGUAAGUGACGGUACCUGCAGAAGAAGCGACGGCUACAUACGU